RNAcentral lists this ribosomal RNA (136 nucleotides) under Lachnospiraceae bacterium XBB1006. RNAcentral's name for it is "16S rRNA. Bacterial SSU". It matches the Rfam family "Bacterial small subunit ribosomal RNA", at positions 19 to 135 of the family's 1533-position model. The record is from RNAcentral. Lineage: Bacteria; Bacillati; Bacillota; Clostridia; Lachnospirales; Lachnospiraceae.
CUGGCUCAGGAUGAACGCUGGCGGCGUGCUUAACACAUGCAAGUCGAACGAAGCACCUGCUUACGAUCCCUUCGGGGUGACGAGCUUGUGACUGAGUGGCGGACGGGUGAGUAACGCGUGGGUAACCUACCGUAUG